Molecule: ribosomal RNA, 748 nt
Filed under: uncultured Planctomycetota bacterium
Lineage: Bacteria; Pseudomonadati; Planctomycetota
Description: bacterial SSU rRNA
Rfam family: Bacterial small subunit ribosomal RNA
Source: RNAcentral
UGGCGGACGGGCGAGUAACACGUAAUCAAGCUACCUGCCAGACGGGGAUAACUUCGGGAAACCGAUCGUAAAACCCGAUGGUCUUUCAGCAUCGCAUGUUGCUGUAAGUAAAUGGACGGGACCCUUCGGGGCCGUCUGCUGGCAGAGGUGAUUGCGGCCCAUCAGUUUGUUGGUAGGGUAACGGCCUACCAAGACUACGACGGGUAGCCGGCCUAAGAGGGUGGCCGGUCGCACUGGGACUGAGACACUGCCCAGACUCCUACGGGAGGCUGCAGUCGAGAAUCUUCCGCAAUGGACGAAAGUCUGACGGAGCGACGCCGCGUGGAGGACGAAGGCCCUCGGGUUGUAAACUCCUGUCACGAGUUAAGAAGGUUGUAUGACGAAUAGUUGUGCAACUUGACGAAGGCUCGAGAGGAAGCACUGGCUAACUCUGUGCCAGCAGCCGCGGUAUUACAGAGAGUGCGAACGUUGUUCGGAAUUACUGGGCUUAAAGAGUACGUAGGCGGCAUGGCAAGUGUUAGGUGAAAUCCCACGGCUUACCCGUGGAACUGCCCGGCAAACUGCUGAGCUAGAGUGUGGUAGGGGAGAACAGAACUCAUGGUGGAGCGGUGAAAUGCGUAGAUAUCAUGAGGAAUACCGGUGGCGAAGGCGGUUCUCUGGUCCACAACUGACGCUGAGGUACGAAAGCUAGGGUAGCGAACGGGAUUAGAUACCCCGGUAGUCCUAGCCGUAAACGAUGGGCACUAGC